RNAcentral lists this ribosomal RNA (254 nucleotides) under uncultured bacterium. RNAcentral's name for it is "partial 16S ribosomal RNA". It matches the Rfam family "Bacterial small subunit ribosomal RNA", at positions 524 to 776 of the family's 1533-position model. The record is from RNAcentral.
UACGGGGGGAGCAAGCGUUGUUCGGAUUUACUGGGCGUAAAGGGCGCGUAGGCGGUCGUGACAAGUCACUUGUGAAAUCUCCGGGCUUAACUCGGAACGGUCAAGUGAUACUGUCGGACUAGAGUACAGAAGGGGCAACUGGAAUUCUCGGUGUAGCGGUGAAAUGCGUAGAUAUCGAGAGGAACACCCGUGGCGAAGGCGGCCCUCUGGCUCGACCCUGACGCUGAGGCGCGAAAGCGUGGGGAGCGAACGGG